ACAACAAGCAGAUAGCAGGCGCCUGGAGGAGAGGGCCGGCCCCCAGGCCACCGGGACUCAGCUCCUGCCAUCUGACAGUACGGUGGUGAGCUGCUCUGUCCUCUUGUGGUCCUGUGAACGUGCCUCAUCCUGUUUGUCCUUAUCAGGACAUCAGGGUACCUGCUGGGCUGAAAAGCAGGGAAGACAAAGGUAAACGAGGUGCCAACUGGUCCAGCUUCUCAGGGAUUUUAUUUACUCAGCAUCUGGAAAACCUUGGGCAAAUGCACAGGCCUUCUCAACAGUCUGCUUCACUGAGGUUAAGAGAAGUCAUCGCCUUUUCCUCAGCCUAACAGCCCGCCCACACUGAGCUCUGUCCCGUGCCUCUUCUCACAGACAUGCAGGCAGAACCAGGGCUCUGCUGCUCUGAUGGCACGCUGCUGCUGCUGUGCUGCCAUCUUCCAUGGGCCAUCAUCUGCCAGCCGUGCGGUGUCACUGCCUGCUGACAGGCAUCGGCCCCUUCACAUCCCCUCCUGCACAUUGCUCCUUUGUUUUCCUGCUAAUUCCGAGAAGCAGGUCUGUGCCAUUUCCAGCCCCCGAUCCUCCAGGAACAAAUGCCAAAACUGAAAGCCAAUACUUGGGAAUGUUGUCCUGGAGGUAUCGACAGAAACACUUCCCAUCAUUUCAUUUACCGAGGAAAACACCCUUGAAAACACUCCACUGUGGAACGCCUUCCUUGUCUUGGUCACCUCUGGGACUUCCAGCGUCUUCUUGGGGCGAGACCUUCACCGGGACCCGCCCCACUUCUCACUUGUGACCAAAGCACUCAAAAAGAGUGAAGAAAGCAGAGGAAGUGCCCUCUGCCAUCUGGCGUGAGGGAGCUGCCCAUGCUUCAAAGCCCCGCGCGGACAGGAAGGGCUGUGGGGCGAUGCCGAGUGUGGGGCGAGGAAAUGGCGGGGCCGAUGGGACAUGAAAGCCGCGAGCGUGUCAAAGGCAGGACGGAAGUGUUGUAGAGGGCAGCCCUAUUUUUAGCCGCCUCUUGCGAGCUAGCGCUCGCUGUAGAAGAGCUGCUUCCCCUUUCCUUGAUGUAAGCAGAGCCCCAUUGGCGUUUGGGCCUGUUUUUAUUUGGCCACUCACGCAGUUAUGCUGACUGAAAGGUCCCUUGAGCACCGCUGACUCAAAAACACCCAUGGUCGCAGAGUCCUGAGCAAGGAGAACAGAAAGCAUCUGGCACUUCCCUGUCCCCAUUUCAGGACCGAGAGAGGUAGAACCCAAAGCUGAGGCUGCAGAGCGUGACUCUUAGUCAUAUCAACAGGGGAUUUUGCAAUUGGUGGGUGCGGGGUGCGAGGCAGGCAGUCUGCAAGCAAAUUUGAAGUGCUCUGCAAAGCACUGGAGUGGGGUUCCUCUGCUGCCAGGCCUGCGCAGCACAGUGCGGCCCUCACUCCCUGCUGCCCUGCAGCCUGCCGGGCCGCUCCAUUUGGGCACAGGGUUUAGCACAAGUGAGCAGGCAGCUCACGUGGUGAGCGGUGGGUGGCCAUGGCUGCCCUGUAUCUGCCUCCUGUUCACAUUUGCAGCAGCCGACUUCUAUGCAAGGCAGGGUCUAAAGUGGAUCCCGCUGAGUUUGGCCCAGUUUGGCUGGUGCUGUUCAGCUCAGGGACAGGAUGGAAGGAUGGAGUUGAGACUCAUAGAGCCAGCACUCCCAGCAUCCCAUUCCUGCAGCGGAUACACAGAUUACCUAUCAGUAGAGCUCCUUCUUAAGCCGGAUUGAUUAAGGCAGAAUUUGCAAUCGUUGAAUGAGAGAUGACACAAUCAUAGAAUGGCUCAGGUUGGAGGGGACGCUAAAGAUCACCCAGUUCCAGCCCGCCGCCGUGGGCAGGGAUGUGGAUGGAGAAGUGCUUUGUACUGUAACAGUUUCAUUUAGAAGCGAGAAGUCCUUCAUGAGGAGGUAGUGGGAGGAGGAGGUUAUUGACAAUGCCACUCCUGUCCGAAGGAAUGUGCUGGAAAGUUGCAGUGGCCUCUAGAUGGCAGCCCCAUUACUCACUCGUCAGAAAACUGAAAAUAAACGCCUUCCCUUUCAAAGCUGGACUUACAGGCAGGCCUAAAGCUUCGGGAGCUCAGACCAAAACCCGCGGGCAGUCAAGAUGACAGUGGGACCCAUCCGGCUUUGUUUUUUCCCCUUCGCCUCGCCCAAAAGGAGGAGCGAGGACUCGCUUCCCUCUGGACUCUGUAUUUGGUAAUGGGCCGGGAGCUGCCGCUGGGAGCUCGUCCUGACGUUCCUGGAGUCGUCUGGAAAGCGAGGCGGAGCCGCGGUGCUGUGCCCAGGGGUGCGCCUCGCCCCGGGUGCCGGCGGCUCUGCUGGGAGCGGGAGGUCCGCGCCGUGCUGCCGUGUGUGACCCGUGGGACGCGGGGCGGGCAGCUUCCACAGCACCAGAGCAGCGCUCUGCCAGAGCUAUUUGUAUAGUAAAUUGCUGUAUUGUUUCAAUUAAAAAAACGCAGCCGGGCAUUUAAUGGCUCCCAUCUGCGGCCACUCUGCGUAAUUCACUUCCCACUUUAAGGUUUUGCCAGCAGAUUUAGUCUGAGCCUCAUCAGCAGGGGACCUGGAUAAGAAACCGUGGUCAGCUGCCUCUCAGCUCCGAGCCAGUCUUCCUCAAAGAGCGACGGUAACUUUGGAUGCCACGACUGCGUGACACGCAGCUGCAACCUUGACCUGGUAGGAUCUCCUACGGUCAGAUCCAGCAGAGAGCCGUGCUGUGUGUGUGGUGACACGCAUACUGACCUACGUGUGCACGUGAAGACUUCCAGAGCUGCAUCUGCUUCAGACGUGACACUGAUGUCACCCCACGGAUGCUGCCUCGCUGUGGACAAGGCAACGGACCAAAGUUGGCGUUAUUUCCUCCGUGGAGAGCAGGGACCUCAAGGAUGGCUCUGGUGCAGCUGGCGCUCCCGUGGCGGGCAGUCACAGCCCACGCCAACCCUCUGCCCACCGCGCCUUCAUACCCUGGGGGUCAGAGUGGGCUGAGGCAGGUCCUAGGCGAGUGCUCCCACUGCCGAGCCUGCAGCUUGGUCACCAGCGCCCUCCGGCCAGCCUCAUAAACAUCACCCACCGGGCUCUGCUGCCCAUCCCCUGCUCCCCCAGCCAAGGGUCACGAGCUGCGGCCGGCAGCCGGCUGCCAAACACAGCCGUGGCUCUGUGCAGCCAGCCUGCGAGAGGUCGUCACACGCCUCCUUAAGCAAACAGGGAUCCACGCCAGUUGAUAAAUCAUUUACGAGGAGAAGUCAGAAGCAAGGAACUAGAUUAACCAGGUCACUGGGUGUCCUGAGGGAAUGACGUGUCAGUGGAGCUGAAACAGCAGAUCCCGCAGUUGCAAUCUGUUGCCUUCUUCUGUCCUGACAGCAAUUCAUGGAAAUCCCUGGAACUAGACACUAGUGAUGGAAAAAUCCAUUAGCUCAUCCAAAGUCAGCUUGCUAGUUAAAGCAGUCACUCCCAUUGUACAUUUUUUGGCAGAGUUAAAAUGUCUCAAGAGAGGGGAUUUCCACCAGUUCCUUCUCAAGGGGAAACUAUUCCACCUAUCGGGAAGGCAGCCUCGAGUGGUGCUAUUUAUGUAAAAGAGAAGUAACUCCAAGCCUGAAAGGGAAAACCGAAAGGUUCUGAUGCAGAAACACAGGCAGCGGUCGAUAGCCUGCCCCGGCUGACAUGUGCCACGCACAGCACAUCUGCGAUGGGAACACCAGGGGCCCACGUGUGUUUAUAUACAUCCACCUAGGUGUGUUUGUGUGUAUGCACAGCCUGCCUCUCCUUCCUCAGGCUGGUUAUGACCUUGUGCCUCCCUGGCUAAUCGACGUGUCGUAUCGUGAUCUCACAACCAGGUUACACUUAUGUAAUGCCACUGGCAUCAAGGCGAAGAAAAUUGCUAAAUUGCUUUGAGGAGGGGACAGACGCAUGGAAAAAGAGAGGCACCGGCUGCUGCUGCUGCUCUGGCACACGCUUCCCCUCUGUGUGGGGACAUGGCACGUCCCUUAGGGGCCUCGGUUCCCCAGCUGCGUGCCAGGCACAGCGACCACCCUCAGUGCUCCUGGCGUCUUGUGGCUGAACGCACAGCCUCUGGCAGCACCCUGCCCGCAGCAGCAGGGAAGGUGCUGCAACGCAGAGCUAUGUCACUGAGGUUGUCGGCAGAGGCUAUGGAGGUUUUGGCAGCCAGGAUUUCAGCACCUGGGAAGCACUUCGGGACAGUGGGGAAAUAAAUGAGCUGUGUGAUGGCAUUUAAGGCCUUAUCAUGAGUUUCAGAGCUAUUUCUGCGUUCAGAUGAAUGGGUGUAGCACACGUUGCUGAGCUAGAAUGUGUAGAGACAGGGAGGGUUGCUCUGUGUUCCCAUUCAGAAAGCUCUCAGCCAGCAGAGCUGUAACUUGCAGUCCUGGUGCCUCAGUUCAGGAGCAGGGCUCUGCAGCUAGGGUAGAUACAAUGGCUAUAUUAGCAGCAAACAAACCCCACAUUAUCCAGGGCCCUGAUUACCAGUAUGAUGGGGUGUUGGCUAUAUGCCUCUUAUGAGAAGAAGGUGGGGUAUUGCCUGGGCGUUUGCCCUGGAUUUGUAACUCCUUCUCAACUAGUUGUUUCGUGUGCCUCUCAAAACCUCACUGCUGGCACUGCUGUCUUCCCCUUCCGGGACUCCUGACAUUCAGGUACCAUGUUUUGCACGGACUCAACAGCCACGUACCCGUCAGUUACAUUGGGACUGCUCUCGUGAGUGCCCUGUGCAUGUUACUGUACGGUGGCUUGUGAGUUCUAUUUGGUACAUCCCUGGCUUUGGGCCGCGUGUUCCGCUUUGCAAGGCUUUACUUUGUUUAGCACAAACCACACUGAAGCACAAAUGACAUCUGUGAGGACUGAUAUGGUGUGGAAAGGGACCUAACCAAAAAAGCGCGGGUCAAAUCCUGGGCCUCGGCGGGGUCCCUUUAAUUGCUGUCAGGUCCCAGUGCCAGUUGACCUACUGAGCCCCUUGCCCCUUGCACCAUGGAGGGAUAAGAGCAGGUGAAGCCCAGUAACAGUUUAACUAUGAGAUUAACUCUCUGCCAGUUCCACUACAGAGGGCCCUCUGUUUCUCUGGACAAAAGGUGCUGACUCCAGCCUCCCCAACACGUUGGCCCACGUUCUCCAUCCCCUUCAUGGCCUGGCCUGCCUUCCCCACACCCUGCAGUUCCAGCCUGACUCUCAGCGAAGGCAGGGAGCCUGGGCUCUGCAGCCUUAGGUGGUGCUGCUGCCUGAAGGAGGGCCAGAGUAAGAGACAUCUUCCUCUCUACUCCCCUACACCUACAAGGUCCCAGUGCUCUUCAGAACCACACACCAAGGUAGGACGAGAUGCAGGGAGGCCUGUAACGGUCCAGGUGCUCGGCUGCGUGUCCUCCCUGCUCCUAAGCACCACUGAGACCCUGGUUUCUCAUGCCUUGAAAUUCAUGGGUGUUUGGCCAUGCCCCUCAACACAUGCAGGACCAGGCUCCCGAACUGUCCCAAAGCCCACAGAUGUCAAGGAGGUUCCUUCUUUGGGCUUCACUGUGGCAAUGAACACUGGUUUUACAGCUGGCUAGGCAAGAGGCAGCUAGGUGCAAGCUUAAUGAGGAUGACCUGUCUCAAAGGUUUCAUUUAAAAGAAGAAAGUACCGAGCGUUUUACUUAAAAAUGAACAGAUGUGUAGAGCAAACUCUACCCUUCCCUCGGGUACGGUGAAUCUGAUCACAGCGCAUCCUGCCCAGACCUGAGAGCAGACAGACAGACAGAGCUGCGUCACAAAGUGGAACUGACUGAUGUGACUCGCCCGCGCUGAGCUGGGGAUGAGUGAAACCAUGCUCGUGCAGACAGCGUGGAAAGCGAGCAGAGGUGAUAAGGAGUGGGGGUGUUAGUUGUUGUUGUUCUUGAUUCUGCGUGGGAGAGGGGAGCGAUAUUGAUGAAGACCGUAAACAGCAAUAGGUGCCACCAAGUAGUGGCAACAUACAGCCCUGAACGUACAGCUGCCAUUAGGCACCGAGUGCCUCUCUGCUGAGUGCUCGCACCGAGGGCAGCUUGGCUUCCAACAAGCACCCAUCACUCCCAAGAGGCAGCACCCCCUGAGAACAUGGGCUGCAGUCCUUAUGACCGUGUGCUGUGAGAGCCAUUUCCACCGGAGAGGCAAAUACUUUCCUUCCACUGUGUCACAGAGCCACAUUUCCUCUGAGUUACCUGCACCGAGUGUGUGGGGCUGCACUAAUGCAGGCCUGGCCGAGAAGGGGGCACGGAGACAGGGAUGGAGAUGGGCACAGAGACAGAGAUAGAGACAGAGACAGGGACAGGGCCGGCCAUGCCCAGCAUGCAGAUCGAGGCAGGUCCUUGCAGUGCGGUGGGGCUGACUGACACCCCGGUGCAGUGUGCGUGUGCCGUGUGAUGUGCUUGAGCAGCACAAGGUCAUGUUCAGCCCCCUGCCCUGUUACUGUGAGCAGCCAUGCACUAGUUUCAAGCGUAAUAACAUCAUGACGUAACAGCACACCAUGCUGCGAUGACACCAGCACAUGGAGCAAGCCACGGCGAUCUGAUCUCUUUCUGUACACGCUGAGAUGCACGCUGCCGCCUCCCAGGACAGGUGGGCGGCAGGUGGAUGGGGCUGGCGCUGCCCACGUCCCAGCGCCGGGUGAGAACGUGACUGCCGGCAAUGUCAGGGCUGGGAGAUUGGCUCCGCAGCUCCAGCUCUGCCUCAGCUGCGGCCGAUGAGUCACCGCACCUCUCUGUGCUCACUUCUUCCAUCUGUGGAAAGGUGGCAAUAACAUUUCCUCACCUUACGGGGGGUGGGAGGUGUGUGCAAGGAUGAACAAAUGUUUACAAAGCACCUCGGCGCAGCACAGGCUGGUUGGGCUGUGACUGGGAGGAACCAGCGCUCGCUCUCCGCAUUGCUCCUUCCUGGCCAGGCGAGGUGUCCUCAAGUAAACACUCCCCUCAGAGUCAACAGUCUUCAAUGAGCGCAGAUGAGAUAAUUCCUCAGGAGAGAAACAGAGAGCGAAGAGUCAGCGCGCUGCCAGUAAUUUCCAUGAAUUCUGUCAAAGGAACAGCGGAGUAACCUUUGCAGGAGAAAAAGAAGAAUCAACUAGAAAAACAAAUGAGCAGCGACCAAAUUCUUUCUGCUAAGUGGUGCCGUGGUCUUAGGUUUCACUUCCCAAAUGGGAAACAGAACAGAGAAGUGAAUCCCCUUGAAAUAAAAGUGAAGUUAAUAACGGGACGCCUGUAGCUGCUCACCACAUCCUGUGUAUGCUGAUCGCUCUGUUUAUAGCUGGCACGAGCCCUUCUAGACUCUUCUCUACCAAGUGAGCUGGUUGCGGAGCCCAGCUGCG
Long non-coding RNA from Gallus gallus (chicken), 7322 nucleotides. The record is from Ensembl. Lineage: Eukaryota; Metazoa; Chordata; Aves; Galliformes; Phasianidae.